Molecule: ribosomal RNA, 274 nt
Filed under: uncultured bacterium
Lineage: Bacteria
Description: partial 16S ribosomal RNA
Rfam family: Bacterial small subunit ribosomal RNA
Source: RNAcentral
CCACGGAGGGCGCAAGCGUUGCUCGGAAUCACUGGGCGUAAAGCGGGUGUAGGCGGUCUAGCAAGUCAGAUGUGAAAGCCCACGGCUCAACCGUGUAAGUGCAUCUGAAACUGCUAGACUUGAGUGCCGGAGAGGGAAGUGGAAUUCCUGGUGUAGGGGUGAAAUCCGUAGAUAUCAGGAGGAACACCGGUGGCGAAGGCGACUUCCUGGACGGCCACUGACGCUGAGACCCGAAAGCGUGGGGAGCAAACAGGAGUAGAAACCCCAGUAGUCC